Molecule: ribosomal RNA, 229 nt
Filed under: uncultured bacterium
Lineage: Bacteria
Description: partial 16S ribosomal RNA
Rfam family: Bacterial small subunit ribosomal RNA
Source: RNAcentral
CCUUAGUGGCGAACGGGUGAGUAACGCGUGGGAACCUGCCCAGAAGUGGGGAAUAACUAUUGGAAACGAUAGCUAAUACCGCAUAUCUCCUGAGGGAGAAAGGCUUCGGCCGCUUUUGGAUGGUCCCGCGUCUGAUUAGCUUGUUGGUGAGGUAACGGCUCACCAAGGCGACGAUCAGUAGCUGGUCUGAGAGGAUGAUCAGCCACACUGGGACUGAGACACGGCCCAG